AUGGCGCCGUCGUCGCCGGCGGCGGCGGCGGUGGCGGCCGAGGGAGGCGAGCAGCAGAUCGUGGCGGCGGCGGCGGCGAAGAAGAAGAAGGGCGGCGGGAAGAGGGGCCGGCGCGAGAUGCGGCGGAUCGAGGACGCCACCAGCCGGCAGGUCACCUUCUCCAAGCGCCGCAGCGGGCUGCUCAAGAAGGCCUUCGAGCUGGGCGUCCUCUGCGACGCCGAGGUCGCCCUCAUCGUCUUCUCCCCCCGCGGCCGCCUCUACGAGUACGCCUCCGCGCCAGAUUUGCAGAAAACGAUUGAUCGCUACCUGAAUCACACAAAAGGGACAUCUGCCAAUGAGAAAACUGUUGAGCAACCAGCUGCUGGCGUCCAGAUGUGUAGAUCUGAAGCUACCGCCUUGAAGCACAAGAUAGACGCAAUUGAGGCCUACCAGAGGAAGCUAUCUGGAGAAGGAUUGGGGUCCUGUUCGGCCCAUGAGCUGCAAGAGCUGGAGCUGCAGCUGGAGAAGAGCCUAAGCUGCAUCCGGCAAAAGAAGCAACAGAAAAUGGUGGCUAAAAUCUCGGAGCUGAAGGAGAAGGAGAGAAAGCUGUUGACGGAGAACUCGGUGCUCCGUGAGGAGUACAAGGCGCUGCCUCUGCUAGAGCUGGCCACUGCUGCUGCUGCUGAAAGAUCGCCUGACGGCGCUGGAGCUGAAGAAGCCGAGGAGGACGAGCGGCGGCGGCAUUACAUGGAAGUGGAGACCGAGCUGGUCAUUGGAAGGCCCGGGUCCUCUAGCUAG
RNAcentral lists this ribosomal RNA (777 nucleotides) under Triticum aestivum (bread wheat). RNAcentral's name for it is "partial small subunit ribosomal RNA". Lineage: Eukaryota; Viridiplantae; Streptophyta; Magnoliopsida; Poales; Poaceae. The record is from RNAcentral.